This 253-nucleotide ribosomal RNA is filed under the name uncultured bacterium. RNAcentral's name for it is "partial 16S ribosomal RNA". It matches the Rfam family "Bacterial small subunit ribosomal RNA", at positions 524 to 776 of the family's 1533-position model. The record is from RNAcentral.
UACGUAGGGGGCGAGCGUUGUCCGGAUUUAUUGGGCGUAAAGAGCGUGUAGGCGGUUCGGUAAGUCUGUCGUGAAAUCCUGAGGCUCAACCUUGGACGUGCGAUGGAUACUGCCGGGCUAGAGGCUUGGAGGGGGAACUGGAAUGCUCGGUGUAGCAGUGAAAUGCGUAGAGAUCGAGCGGAACACCAGUGGCGAAGGCGAGUUCCUGGACAAGACCUGACGCUGAGGCACGAAAGCCAGGGGAGCAAACAGG